Molecule: long non-coding RNA, 598 nt
Organism: Pomacea canaliculata
Lineage: Eukaryota; Metazoa; Mollusca; Gastropoda; Architaenioglossa; Ampullariidae
Exons: 3
Source: RefSeq, a predicted model, not a curated record
CAGAAUUGGACCAGUACAGAUCCCUGAGGGACAACGUGUGUCGGGACAGAAGCAUCUUAGUGAACACCAUUCACAAAGUCUGGGUUCGGUCGGUGAGACACGAUCGAAAGGAGGACAAAGGAACACGAUAAAUGCCAAAAGACUGCUGAAGUCUGUGUGGAGGUAUGGAAUGAUCCACAGUAUCAAAUGACAGAUCAGCUGACACGUCUAGCAAGGUCGGAAAUGACACUUUGUGGAGCAGAUCCUUUUACAACUUUGAGAAGUGCAGAUUGAGUACAUGGCCUUCUCUAUGACCGACUGGAAUGGACUGAAGAGAUGAUUGCUCUCUCCAUGCACUGGGAAAAACAAUCUUUUGCAGAACUUUAGACAGAAAAGACAGUGACACAUUUCCUCUCUCCCUGGCCUGGAGCCUACCGAUAGUGGGUGCAGUGUUGUUGAUCUUGGCCUCCACCGAUGUGACAUGGUGUUUCUCUUGCUGCGGAUAUGUGUGUGUCUUUGCGGACCCCAUCUUCCUCUCCAAGUCAACCACAGCCAACCUUUCUUUACAAGAAAAAGAAAAGGAGAAGAAGAAAAAAAUCCACUGACCAAGGCCGGGACC